Molecule: ribosomal RNA, 484 nt
Filed under: uncultured bacterium
Lineage: Bacteria
Description: partial 16S ribosomal RNA
Rfam family: Bacterial small subunit ribosomal RNA
Source: RNAcentral
AUUGAACGCUGGCGGCAGGCCUAACACAUGCAAGUCGAGCGGAUGAAGGGAGCUUGCUCCUGGAUUCAGCGGCGGACGGGUGAGUAAUGCCUAGGAAUCUGCCUGGUAGUGGGGGAUAACGUCCGGAAACGGGCGCUAAUACCGCAUACGUCCUGAGGGAGAAAGUGGGGGAUCUUCGGACCUCACGCUAUCAGAUGAGCCUAGGUCGGAUUAGCUAGUUGGUGGGGUAAAGGCCUACCAAGGCGACGAUCCGUAACUGGUCUGAGAGGAUGAUCAGUCACACUGGAACUGAGAAAAGGUCCAGACUACUACGGGAGGCAGCAGUGGGGAAUAUUGGACAAUGGGCGAAAGCAUGAUCCAGCAAUGCCGCGUGUGGGAAGAAGGUCUUCGGAUUGUAAAGCACUUUAAGUUGGGAGGAAGGGCAGUAAGUUAAUACCUUGCUGUUUUGACGUGACCAACAGAAUAAGCACCGGCUAACUUCGUG